Small nuclear RNA from Chionomys nivalis (European snow vole), 104 nucleotides. The record is from RefSeq and is a predicted model, not a curated record. NCBI's taxonomy places the organism in Eukaryota, Metazoa, Chordata, Mammalia, Rodentia, Cricetidae.
GUGCUCACUUGGGCAGCAUGUAUACUAAAAUUGGCACAAUAUAGAGAAGCCUAGCAUGGUCGCUGCACCAGGGCAUACAAAUUGGUUCAGUAUGAUGUAUUUCU